UGGGGAAUUUUGGACAAUGGGCGAAAGCCUGAUCCAGCAAUGCCGCGUGUGUGAAGAAGGCCUUCGGGUUGUAAAGCACUUUUGUCCGGAAAGAAAUCCUUGGCUCUAAUACAGUCGGGGGAUGACGGUACCGGAAGAAUAAGCACCGGCUAACUACGUGCCAGCAGCCGCGGUAAUACGUAGGGUGCAAGCGUUAAUCGGAAUUACUGGGCGUAAAGCGUGCGCAGGCGGUUUGCUAAGACCGAUGUGAAAUCCCCGGGCUCAACCUGGGAACUGCAUUGGUGACUGGCAGGCUAGAGUAUGGCAGAGGGGGUAGAAUUCCACGUGUAGCAGUGAAAUGCGUAGAGAUGUGGAGGAAUACCGAUGGCGAAGGCAGCCCCCUGGGCCAAAUACUGACGCUCAUGCACGAAAGCGUGGGGAGCAAACAGGAUUAGAUACCCUGGUAGUCCACGCCCUAAACGAUGUCAACUAGUUGUUGGGGAUUCAUUUCCUUAGUAACGUAGCUAACGCGUGAAGUUGACCGCCUGGGGAGUACGGUCGCAAGAUUAAAACUUAAAUGAAUUGAC
This 566-nucleotide ribosomal RNA is filed under the name uncultured bacterium. RNAcentral describes it as "partial 16S ribosomal RNA". It matches the Rfam family "Bacterial small subunit ribosomal RNA", at positions 355 to 914 of the family's 1533-position model. The record is from RNAcentral.